GCACUAUACAGUGGUAUAUAAGUCUAAGGCAUUUGCCCACCCUUGAACUAGUCAAAUGAAGGGAGAUAUCUGGUUACCGUUUACCAGACAAAAUAAUAAUAAUAAUAAAACAAAUUGCUUUACCUUUUUGCUUCCAGAAGAGCUUUUCUCUAUCUUUUC
Molecule: non-coding RNA, 159 nt
Organism: Pseudonaja textilis
Lineage: Eukaryota; Metazoa; Chordata; Lepidosauria; Squamata; Elapidae
Source: RefSeq, a predicted model, not a curated record